Molecule: non-coding RNA, 96 nt
Organism: Roridomyces roridus
Lineage: Eukaryota; Fungi; Basidiomycota; Agaricomycetes; Agaricales; Mycenaceae
Source: the annotation of a GenBank genome assembly
GGCCGCCUGGCGAAAUGGCAUCGCGUCUGACUACGAUAGAGCAUUGCAUUGUAGUACGUUAUCAGGAGAUUGCAGGUUCGACCCCUGCGGUGGUCA